GACGAACGCUGGCGGCGUGCUUAACACAUGCGAGUCGAACGGAAAGGCCCUGCUUUUGUGGGGUGCUCGAGUGGCGAACGGGUGAGUAACACGUGAGUAACCUGCCCUUGACUUUGGGAUAACUUCAGGAAACUGGGGCUAAUACCGGAUAGGAGCUCCUGCUGCAUGGUGGGCGUUGGAAAGUUUCGGCGGUUGGGGAUGGACUCGCGGCUUAUCAGCUUGUUGGUGGGGUAGUGGCUUACCAAGGCUUUGACGGGUAGCCGGCCUGGGAGGGUGACCGGCCACAUUGGGACUGAGAUACGGCCCAGACUCCUACGGGAGGCAGCAGUGGGGAAUAUUGCACAAUGGGCGGAAGCCUGAUGCAGCAACGCCGCGUGCGGGAUGACGGCCUUCGGGUUGUAAACCGCUUUCGCCUGUGACGAAGCGUGAGUGACGGUAAUGGGUAAAGAAGCACCGGCUAACUACGUG
RNAcentral lists this ribosomal RNA (468 nucleotides) under uncultured bacterium. RNAcentral's name for it is "partial 16S ribosomal RNA". It matches the Rfam family "Bacterial small subunit ribosomal RNA", at positions 28 to 507 of the family's 1533-position model. The record is from RNAcentral.